Molecule: ribosomal RNA, 305 nt
Filed under: uncultured bacterium
Lineage: Bacteria
Description: bacterial SSU rRNA
Rfam family: Bacterial small subunit ribosomal RNA
Source: RNAcentral
UUCCUACGGGGGGCAGCAGUGGGGAAUAUUGCACAAUGGGGGAAACCCUGAUGCAGCAACGCCGCGUGAGUGAAGAAGUAUUUCGGUAUGUAAAGCUCUAUCAGCAGGGAAGAAGAUGACGGUACCUGAAUAAGAAGCCCCGGCUAACUACGUGCCAGCAGCCGCGGUAAUACGUAGGGGGCAAGCGUUAUCCGGAUUUACUGGGUGUAAAGGGAGCGCAGACGGCGAUGCAAGCCAGGAGUGAAAGCCCGGGGCCCAACCCCGGGACUGCUCUUGGAACUGCGUGGCUAGAGUGCAGGAGGGGC